Long non-coding RNA from Thalassophryne amazonica, 93 nucleotides. RefSeq lists it as uncharacterized. The transcript is spliced from 3 exons. The record is from RefSeq and is a predicted model, not a curated record. NCBI's taxonomy places the organism in Eukaryota, Metazoa, Chordata, Actinopteri, Batrachoidiformes, Batrachoididae.
CAUCCUAAUAUCAUUGGUGCCGACAUGAAUAACAAUGUGGCUAUAUCUAGUGUUGUGUUCCUUUGUCUGACUAUCCUUUCACAAUGUCAGCAC